CAGCCGCCGCGGUAAUACGGAGGAUCCAAGCGUUAUCCGGAUUUAUUGGGUUUAAAGGGUGCGUAGGCGGCUUAUUAAGUCAGGGGUGAAAGACGGUGGCUCAACCAUCGCAGUGCCUUUGAUACUGAUGAGCUUGAAUAUACUUGAGGUAGGCGGAAUGUGACAAGUAGCGGUGAAAUGCAUAGAUAUGUCACAGAACACCGAUUGCGAAGGCAGCUUACCAAGGUAUGAUUGACGCUGAGGCACGAAAGCGUGGGGAUCAAACAGGAUUAGAUACCCUGGUAGUCCACGCCCUAAACGAUGAAUACUCGAUGUUGGCGAUAUACAGUCAGCGUCCAAGCGAAAGCGUUAAGUAUUCCACCUGGGGAGUACGGCCGCAAGGUUGAAACUUAAAGGAAUUGGCGGG
RNAcentral lists this ribosomal RNA (406 nucleotides) under uncultured microorganism. RNAcentral describes it as "bacterial SSU rRNA". It matches the Rfam family "Bacterial small subunit ribosomal RNA", at positions 509 to 917 of the family's 1533-position model. The record is from RNAcentral.